Molecule: ribosomal RNA, 908 nt
Filed under: Penicillium soppii
Lineage: Eukaryota; Fungi; Ascomycota; Eurotiomycetes; Eurotiales; Aspergillaceae
Description: LSU rRNA
Rfam family: Eukaryotic large subunit ribosomal RNA
Source: RNAcentral
ACAUAUCAAUAAGCGGAGGAAAGAAACCAACAGGGAUUGCCCUCAGUAACGGCGAGUGAAGCGGCAAGAGCUCAAAUUUGAAAGCUGGCUCCUUCGGGGUCCGCAUUGUAAUUUGCAGAGGAUGCUUCGGGAGCGGUCCCCAUCUAAGUGCCCUGGAACGGGACGUCAUAGAGGGUGAGAAUCCCGUAUGGGAUGGGGUGUCCGCGCCCGUGUGAAGCUCCUUCGACGAGUCGAGUUGUUUGGGAAUGCAGCUCUAAAUGGGUGGUAAAUUUCAUCUAAAGCUAAAUAUUGGCCGGAGACCGAUAGCGCACAAGUAGAGUGAUCGAAAGAUGAAAAGCACUUUGAAAAGAGAGUUAAAAAGCACGUGAAAUUGUUGAAAGGGAAGCGCUUGCGACCAGACUCGCUCGUGGGGUUCAGCCGGCAUUCGUGCCGGUGUACUUCCCCGCGAGCGGGCCAGCGUCGGUUUGGGCGGUCGGUCAAAGGCCCUCGGAAGGUAACGCCCCCUCGGGGGCGUCUUAUAGCCGAGGGUGCAAUGCGACCUGCCUGGACCGAGGAACGCGCUUCGGCUCGGACGCUGGCAUAAUGGUCGUAAGCGACCCGUCUUGAAACACGGACCAAGGAGUCUAACAUCUACGCGAGUGUUCGGGUGUCAAACCCGUGCGCGCAGUGAAAGCGAACGGAGGUGGGAACCCUUUUGGGUGCACCAUCGACCGAUCCUGAUGUCUUCGGAUGGAUUUGAGUAAGAGCGUAGCUGUUGGGACCCGAAAGAUGGUGAACUAUGCCUGAAUAGGGCGAAGCCAGAGGAAACUCUGGUGGAGGCUCGUAGCGGUUCUGACGUGCAAAUCGAUCGUCGAAUUUGGGUAUAGGGGCGAAGACUAAUCGAACCAUCUGGUAGCUGGUUCCUGCGA